GUGAGUAGUUCAGAGUUUGAUCCUGGCUCAGGAUGAACGCUAGCUACAGGCUUAACACAUGCAAGUCGAGGGGCAGCACGAAGAUAGCUUGCUAUCUUGGGUGGCGACCGGCGCACGGGUGAGUAACGCGUAUCCAACCUGCCCAUUACUCGGGGAUAGCCUUGCGAAAGUAAGAUUAAUACCCGAUGUUGUUUGAUUGCCGCAUGACGAUUAAACCAAAGAUUUAUUGGUAAUGGAUGGGGAUGCGUGACAUUAGGUAGUAGGUGAGGUAACGGCUCACCUAGCCGACGAUGUCUAGGGGUUCUGAGAGGAAGGUCCCCCACACUGGAACUGAGACACGGUCCAG
Molecule: ribosomal RNA, 346 nt
Filed under: uncultured bacterium
Lineage: Bacteria
Description: bacterial SSU rRNA
Rfam family: Bacterial small subunit ribosomal RNA
Source: RNAcentral